CAGCAAUGUUGUGGCAAAAUGGCCUGGCUCAGUCCAUGACUCCAGAAUCUUUCGGGCCUCUGAAAUCUAUCAGUGCCUAUCACAAGGUGAAUUCUCUGGUGUGUUGCUGGGAGACAGGGGGUAUGGCUGCCAGCCUUUUCUCCUGACACCUUUCACAGACCCCCAGGAAGCACAGCAGGCCUACAACCAUGCCCAUGCCAGGACCAGGGCCAGAGUUGAAAUGACCUUUGGCCUCCUGAAGGCACGCUUUCACUGCCUUCACAAAUUAAGGGUCAGCCCUGUUAGGGCAUGUGAUAUUACUGUGGCUUGUGCUGUCCUCCACAAUGUGGCCUGCCUGAGGAAGGAGAGGGCCCCCAGAGUGCCACCAGCCAUGGACUGGGACAAUCCGGCAAUCUUCCCUGAUGACGACAGUGGUCGGCUGCUGAGGGACCAAUAUGUGUUGAAUUAUUUUAGUUAGUAUGUGUGCUUUCAAUUUUGGUUAAAUAUGUCCUGCGGUGGCAGAGGAAUUUGGUUUUUUUUGGGUUCGUUUUUUUACGAAUUUGGCCUCUUAUGAUGUUUGUGCGGUAUACUGUGUGUAAUACAAGGCUGCAGGGAGGCUACUGCAUCCAUUCAUUUGUCUGUUCAGUUGAUGUGUAUGGAUUUGUCCUGCAUUUAUUUUAGUGUGCAGACAUGCAGGGUGUGUUAUAUACAGACCUUUGAAUGUGUAUGUAUCAUUUUGUAUAAUAUGCUUGGAUUCUGUGCUUUCCAUCUUGUAGAGUCACUGUGACUUCAGUUUCGAAAGGAGCUGAUGGUUUACCUGCUUUGUUUUGUCCUUAUUCAAUAAAGGAACAUAAUGUUA
This is a long non-coding RNA of Salvelinus fontinalis (brook trout), 838 nucleotides long. RefSeq lists it as uncharacterized. The record is from RefSeq and is a predicted model, not a curated record. The transcript has 2 exons. NCBI's taxonomy places the organism in Eukaryota, Metazoa, Chordata, Actinopteri, Salmoniformes, Salmonidae.